This 1277-nucleotide small RNA is filed under the name Saccoglossus kowalevskii. Its description in RNAcentral is "bCNT-like protein". The record is from RNAcentral. Lineage: Eukaryota; Metazoa; Hemichordata; Enteropneusta; Harrimaniidae.
GGGUUAAAAGACCAGGUACUGGUUUGAGCAGCGUUCUUGGUAAAAUUGGAAAGAAACAAAAAAUUGGAACUUUGGAAAAAUCUCGUUUAGAUUGGAAUUCGUUUAAAUCGGAAGAGGGAAUAGAUGAAGAGUUGUCACAGUUUAACAAAGGAAAACAAGGUUACUUAGAGAAACAAGCUUUCUUGGAGAGGACGGAACACCGACAAUAUGAAAAGGAACGAGAUGUCAGACUUGGAUUCUCAAGCAGUAAACGAUGAUUUUAAUUGACUAAUCAGUAUGCGAUAGUAUCAGAUUGUUACAGUAGCGUAACUCCUUCAGUAUGGUGUCAGUCAUUUUCACUUUCCACUGCUUUGGUUUUAUGUAUGUCAUAUGAUAAUGCACAGUCAAACCGACACAUGUGUUAUCUGAAAAUUUGUUCUGAAAUGUUAUCAAGCUUGUUGUUAGUUUGAUGCACUGGUGUAAAACUGUUUUAGCUGAGCAAGAUUUUUGAAAUAACUAAAUAAAAAAAAUAAUAAAAAAAUUAACAUAUAUUUGCUACCUACCAGUAAUUAGCAAACUAUCUAAAUUGUUUGCAAAAAGUUUGGCGGGUACGCUGAAACAAAUGGUUUAGGUGAGCUUCAGAUUUAGGUGUCUAUCAUUAUCUGAGAAAGGGAAAGAGAACACUCAUAAAUAAGCAUAAUAAAAGCAUAUGGUGGCGUAUUAAUGUACACAAGCCUUGCCUCUUAUGCGAACUGAAACAAAUCCACAAUCACAAGGCGGGUUAAGGAAUUUGAGAAUUCAAAAGCUGAACUUUUAUUUAGUAGUUCUAUGCAGGUUUCUAGCUGCUAACAAAUCAGUGGGUUUUGCAUCUCAAAAAACAAGAAACGAUGUGAUUUCAUUGUUUUUGAGUGGCAGAAAUUGCUGAAAUGACAAUCGUAAAACGACCAGCUGGAUUAUUAACUCCUGCUAUCGCCAGACAUGGCUGAAAAGAGAAAUUGCAAUGAAAUAUGUAGUCUAUGUUUACUGUUCAUUUCACUAUAAACUGAAUUAUGACUUAUAAUUUUAUAAUCAAUGAAACCAAAUGGAUAUUCCUGUUUCUGAAAAAAUGGCACAAAAUACUUGUUCAUGCUUUGCACUGUACAGAGUCUAGACAGGGGCAUACCAAUUAUAGGAUAUGGUUGGAAGAUGCAACCAUACGUGAAGAUAGGAAUUAGUUUUGUUAAUAUUUAUUGUCAAAGUUGUUAAGACUAGCAGUUAUAUUGUCUUUGAGACAAACAAAGCAUGAUCUGACUGCUAAG